Molecule: long non-coding RNA, 3932 nt
Organism: Neofelis nebulosa (Clouded leopard)
Lineage: Eukaryota; Metazoa; Chordata; Mammalia; Carnivora; Felidae
Exons: 7
Source: RefSeq, a predicted model, not a curated record
GAGGGCGGGACGCGGCGAGACAGGGCCGUGGCUGCAGGUGUUUUCGCGGGUUGGGCGGGAGCGUGUAGAGUUGGGAGGUCGGAGGCCUGAGGUCCUUUCGAGAAACGCGAGGAACACGGAACGGCCAAGGCUUCCGGGGAGGAGAGGACGGCGGCCCCGCACCUUUGUUUCCAGAGGUUUCCAGGCGUUUUCUGGCCGGAUCCCAGGGCCUCGUGCGAUGGGCCGGGCUGGACACCGCGCGCUUCAAAGUCACGUUUGGGAUGCUUCUUGCUGACUGUAUCAAGAGGAACUGGUUCUUGGAACGAUGCCUCCGCCUUCCAAUCUGACCAGGUGCAGCCUUACCGUGUUAGCUAUCAAGUGGGGAGACCGGUGAACUCAGGGUUGCUCGUCGGACCUGAGCCACACCAGGGAAUCCAAUCACCAGAGCAUCUCAGGAUGUAGAAGGUGCAAGAGAGAGAGAGUGUGAACGGAGGAGGGACAGACACACAGAAUCGGAAGCAGACUCCAGUCUCUGAGCUGUCAGCACAGACCCCGAUGCGGGGCUCGAACCCACGAGCCGCAAGAUCACGAGCCGAGCCGAAGCCGGAUGGAUGCUCAGCCGGCUGAGCCACCCAGGCGCUCCCCCCCGCCCCCCACUCACUCCUUCUUCAGCUACGGCGAUCCCGUAGAAAUGAUGCCCGGCUCAGACUUCUAGAAAGAUAUUCAAGCGUUUCUAGCAGCGUUUCUCGUGCUUCAAGUGCGUAUGAGCCACCUGGGGAAUUAUGCAGAUUUUUAUGAAUUUAUUAUGCAGGAUUAUGAGGUCUGAGUUUCUGCGUUUGUGACACGCGUGUAGGUGACGCCAGGGCGCCUGCUUCAGGGACCGCACUUUGAGUAGCAGGGUCUUAUGUGGCUGCGAGAUGGAAGGUGUCGCUCUGCUGGGAACUUCAGGUGCAGUAACCCAGAAACCCAGAGAUAAAGGUCCAGAGGGAAGGAAGCACGAAACUCUCCACGUUUUCAGUACGCCCAAGGGAAGCCUUGUGAAAGGCUCCCAACCGGAGAGUGAAGAUCACUGAGUUCCAGAAACAUUUAAGAAAGUUUGGGGAUUAUUGGACCCAGAAGCUGGUGACAGGCCCGGUCUGGAUGAACGGUGCCCACCUCCUGGACCGCAAGUGCCUGCCCAUGGAGCUUCUAAGGAGGAUCCUAUCACCCUAGUGGACCACACCUCUGACAUCCAGAGACACAGAUGCCUGCCUGAAAGCCAACUUAAUCAUUCGUAACGCUAAGCAGGAUUGCCGUGUAGACCAGAUGUACAAACGUCAUGGCAGCCAUUCUCUUUCUGAAGUCAAGAUGCGAGAGUAUCCGGGAAGCAUCUGGAGCCAUCCGUUUGCAAGGAGAGAGCACCAGGAAUAUAAGCGCCACCAGGGCAAGAAUGUCUGUUUAUUUACGCUAUAUGAGUAAAUUACAGCGCUGGGAUUGAGAACGAUGUCGCUGCAGUCCAACUACCUCGGCCUGAAUCUCAUUUGAAUCAGCUGGUGGACAUUGGCAUUUCUCCUGUUUUCAUCCAUUUUUUUUUUCUACUUGCUGAAGCAGUUGGCUUUGUCAGGGGGGACUAAGUGUCCUGAUCAUUUUAAUUCAUGACAAUACACAUGUGCACCCUGGAUGACAUCUCUAGCAAAAGGCACAGGCCUCUCUCUUGCCUGAACCAACACUCAAGUUCACGUAUGGUCUAGCUUUCCUUUACUGUAAGUACCAAGAACCGAUGGCUAAUGAAUAAUUUCAUGCAGGCUCCGAGGUGACACAUAACAAGGGGGAGCGUUUCCACACCUACGACACUUAGGGUUCUAAAGUACCAAAGGCAGCGGUCGUUAGGAUGGAUAAAGACUUAGACAAGACCACUGAUUGGCCCACCUAGAAAUCAUCGGUGCCCCCAAGAGCUGUUAGUGUAGUGUGAAUAGGACUGAUACUUGACUGCAAAAGAUAACAGUAAUGAAUGAGGAAAAAAGGCUGUAGGUCAAGCAUCGGCUCAGUAUCUUAGCGGUUGAAAAGAAAAGUCAUAGCAACAAGAUGUCCUCCAGUGGGUACAUGGAUUAAGCUGCGGUCCAUCAUGACAUCCUAGUGCACGCUCAACACCGAAAAGAAAUGAGCUAUCAAACCAUGAAAAGACGGGGACGAAAGUUAAAUGCGUAUCACUAAGUACAGAAAGCCAAUCUGAAAAGACUGCAUGCUGAGUGAUUCUGAAGAUCUGACAUUCUGGAAAAGGCAAACCUAUGGAGAGAGUAAAAAGACCAGUAGUUCCCAAGGGUUAGAGGGAAAGGAGGAGUGAGUAUGCAGAGCACAGAGGAUUUUUAGGGCAGUGAAAAUACUCUGCCUAAUAUUAUAAUGAUGGCUAUAUUUGUCUAAACCCAUAGAAUUUACACCCCCAAGAGUGAGCCCUAAUGUAAACUAUGGACUCUAGAUGAUCAUGAUGUCUCAGUGUAAGUCCAUCAAUCAUAACAAAUGUACCACAUGGGUGGAGGAUGCUGAUAAUGGGGGAGCCUGUAGGGAAAGAGGAUAUAUAGGAAAUCUCUGUGCCCUCUGCCCAAUUUUGCUGCGAACCUAAAAUUGCUCUGAAAUAUGAAGGCUAUUUACAAAGAGAAAGGCAGAGAAGUCAGAAGCUUGAGAAGUCAGUAGGGCUUAAUGAAACGGAUUUUCUUUCUGCUUUCACGUUAAAGGGUAGGAAAAGACGAUAGCAUCCUUGAAGGCAGGAGGCAAGAGAUUAAAGGUAUGCACAAGACAGAGACAGAGAGACAGAGAGAUCCACUUUUCCAAGGGCAAGUGUCCCCCUUUGAAAGAGGAAGAAAGGAAUCGAUACCGACUCAGAGAAAGCAACGACCACAGGCUAUGGUGUAACCUGGAUAGCUACUGUCAAAAGAAGACGACCAGUUUGGGACGAGUGAAAAUUACACAAAAUUCAGUUGCAACGUCCAUAAGUCAAGUUUCACUGGGACACAGACACACUUGUUUGUGUACAUAUUUUCUAUGGCUGAUUUUUGCUAAAUUGGCAGAGCCGAGGACUUGCAAUGGAGGCUGGGUAGCCUGAAAGCCCUACUGAUAUUUAUUAUCUGCCCUUUACAAAAAAAAAAAAAAAAUUGCUAACCCUUGACCUAGAGCACCCAGUAUUGAGAUGGUGAAAAUCUCAAUCCAAAAGGUCACACCUCAGUUCACUCACAUUUUAUUGGCAAGAACUAACCAUAUGGACCCCCCCCUCCCCCCAUGCAAGGAGGCUGGGAAAUGGAGCCUCUGGCUGGGUAGGAUCAACUCUACCCUUUCACACUGGGGGACACAAAUCUUUGUUGUUCAGGUCACCACGCCUGAAGCAUGCACUUCUCAGGGUACAGAUUUAAAUGCCCUUUAGAUAUUUCUGCUCUCCAAAAUCCAUUUUCAACUGUGCCACCAGCGAAGGGGUGCGUGUGUGUGUGUGUGUGUGUGUGUGUAUGGUAAGGGGGUUGAAAGUCUUCCCUUCUGCCUUUCUCCUUAUUUCCUCAUCCUGCCUGGCUCCAGUUGGCUUUCCUCAAGCUGUCACUCUUUCCCCUUCAGGCCUCUUCUCACUAUUGUGCUGAGUGACUCAGUUAUGUCUGAGCUCCCAGCGCUAGAUUAUAUACCCGGCCUCAGCAACACCAAAGGCAGGCACUUCUAAACAGAAUCCGCUGGUCUUAGAAGGACAUGGUCAUUAGAAGUCACCAAAAUAUGCCUUCCAGGGAUGUGAAGCAGCCGUCUCUAUGAGAAAGAUGGGCUGCGUGAAAAGCAUUUCCUUUGUGCCCUUAACUUUUAAAGAAAUUCAGGUAAAAUAUCAACACGUUCAACUCAACCACAUACAUACACAGUAUUUUAGGGAGUCUUUUGGUGCCCAAGGGUGGCUUACCAGAGAUUUAAUAUUCCUCCGUCAGCUACCACUUAAAGCUACCUAAAAGUCU